This 464-nucleotide ribosomal RNA is filed under the name Pseudomonas putida. RNAcentral's name for it is "bacterial SSU rRNA". It matches the Rfam family "Bacterial small subunit ribosomal RNA", at positions 55 to 514 of the family's 1533-position model. The record is from RNAcentral. Lineage: Bacteria; Pseudomonadati; Pseudomonadota; Gammaproteobacteria; Pseudomonadales; Pseudomonadaceae.
AUGCAAGUCGAGCGGAUGACGGGAGCUUGCUCCUUGAUUCAGCGGCGGACGGGUGAGUAAUGCCUAGGAAUCUGCCUGGUAGUGGGGGACAACGUUUCGAAAGGAACGCUAAUACCGCAUACGUCCUACGGGAGAAAGCAGGGGACCUUCGGGCCUUGCGCUAUCAGAUGAGCCUAGGUCGGAUUAGCUAGUAGGUGAGGUAAUGGCUCACCUAGGCGACGAUCCGUAACUGGUCUGAGAGGAUGAUCAGUCACACUGGAACUGAGACACGGUCCAGACUCCUACGGGAGGCAGCAGUGGGGAAUAUUGGACAAUGGGCGAAAGCCUGAUCCAGCCAUGCCGCGUGUGUGAAGAAGGUCUUCGGAUUGUAAAGCACUUUAAGUUGGGAGGAAGGGCAGUAAGCUAAUACCUUGCUGUUUUGACGUUACCGACAGAAUAAGCACCGGCUAACUCUGUGCCAGCAG